GGAGCUGUACUUCUGGAGCAGAUGGUCAAUGCAACUAAUAUCAUGAGGGUAGAAGAAGUAGUUUAGGAUUUUAUCUGAUAUUAAUAUGUUAGAGUACACGGGAGGUUCGAUUCCUCCCUGCUCCGCCA
This 128-nucleotide transfer RNA is filed under the name Alkaliphilus pronyensis. RNAcentral's name for it is "Alkaliphilus sp. LacV tRNA-OTHER". Lineage: Bacteria; Bacillati; Bacillota; Clostridia; Peptostreptococcales; Natronincolaceae. The record is from RNAcentral.